Molecule: ribosomal RNA, 459 nt
Filed under: Triticum aestivum (bread wheat)
Lineage: Eukaryota; Viridiplantae; Streptophyta; Magnoliopsida; Poales; Poaceae
Description: partial small subunit ribosomal RNA
Source: RNAcentral
AUGUCGCCGUCGUCCAUCUUGGCGAACCUCCCUCGCACCCUCGGCUGGCUGUCCGCCAGAGCCUUCCUGCAAGCAUACUGCAACACACAGAAUCGAAAACAUUCAUCAUUCUCUGAUAUUGCAUCUUGUACUCGUAGAAGAAGAGAAGUAAGAGAGAUUUGUUUGUUUGUGCACCUUGAUCUUUCUGCCAAAGUUCCUCUGGAUCUUCUUCUUCCUGUACCUGUUGAGCUUCUGCUUCCUCUCCUCGCUUUUGAGGUCGCUGAUGGUCACAAGCCUCUCACCAGAUGCCUGCACAUUUGCCGCGAUCCCAGGCCGAGGGGUAUUGGCACCAAGCUUCUGUCGAAAAAAGAGGUAAACAUGUUAGCCUUGCAAAUUGCAUAUCCUCAUACAAAAAUUGAACUUUACAUGAUGAUCCUAUUCCUACCUAAACACAUGAUCAGGAAGAAAACAUAUUACUAG